Molecule: transfer RNA, 88 nt
Filed under: Rhizobium sp. BK591
Lineage: Bacteria; Pseudomonadati; Pseudomonadota; Alphaproteobacteria; Hyphomicrobiales; Rhizobiaceae
Description: tRNA-Ala
Source: RNAcentral
AUAGGGAAACGUGAGGAAACUCCCGGAAAGGACGGCCCCUUGCAUGGCAUGCAAGAGGUCAGCGGUUCGAUCCCGCUUAGCUCCACCA